This 776-nucleotide ribosomal RNA is filed under the name uncultured bacterium. Its description in RNAcentral is "bacterial SSU rRNA". It matches the Rfam family "Bacterial small subunit ribosomal RNA", at positions 8 to 796 of the family's 1533-position model. The record is from RNAcentral.
AGAGUUUGAUCCUGGCUCAGGAUAAACGCUGGCGGCGUGCCUAACACAUGCAAGUCGAACGUCCUGCUCCCGCAAGGGAGCAGGGAGUGGCGGACGGGUGAGGAGCACAUGGGUACCUACCCCCAGGUGAGGAAUACCACCGAGAAAUCGGUGACAAAACCGCAUAGCUUUCUUGGGAAGCCCCAAGAAGGAAAGUUUCUUCUCGAAGAGACGCCUAGGGAUGGGCCUGUGCCUGAUUAGCUGGUUGGUGGGGUAAGCGCCUACCAAGGCGACGAUCAGUAGCUGGUCUGAGAGGAUGAUCAGCCACACUGGGAUUGAGAACGGCCCAGACUCCUACGGGGGGCAGCAGUGAGGAAUUUUCGGCAAUGGACGCAAGUCUGACCGAGCAACGCCGCGUGCAGGACGACGCUUUUCGGAGUGUAAACUGCUUUUCUGGAGGACGAGUGAUCGGACGGUACUCCAGCAAGAAGCCCCGGCUAACUACGUGCCAGCAGCCGCGGUAAUACGUAGGGGGCGAGCGUUGUCCGGAGUUACUGGGCGUAAAGGGCCCGCAGGCGGUCGUCCACGUUUAGGCUGACAAACCUCGGCUUCACCGAGGAGGGUGUCUGAAAACGAGACGACUUGAGGCAGAGAGAGGGACAGGGAAUUCCGGGUGGAGUGGUGAAAUGCGUAGAUAUCCGGAGGAACACCAAAGGCGAAGGCACUGUCCUGGCUCUGACCUGACGCUCGGGGGCGAGAGCUAGGGGAGCGAACGGGAUUAGAUACCCCGGUAGUCC